This 472-nucleotide ribosomal RNA is filed under the name uncultured bacterium. RNAcentral's name for it is "partial 16S ribosomal RNA". It matches the Rfam family "Bacterial small subunit ribosomal RNA", at positions 28 to 507 of the family's 1533-position model. The record is from RNAcentral.
GAUGAACGCUGGCGGCGUGCCUAAUACAUGCAAGUCGAGCGAACAGACGAGGAGCCUGCUCCUCUGACGUUAGCGGCGGACGGGUGAGUAACACGUGGAUAACCUACCUAUAAGACUGGGAUAACUUCGGGAAACCGGAGCUAAUACCGGAUAACAUGUUGAACCGCAUGGUUCAACAGUGAAAGACGGUCUUGCUGUCACUUAUAGAUGGAUCCGCGCCGCAUUAGCUAGUUGGUAAGGUAACGGCUUACCAAGGCAACGAUGCGUAGCCGACCUGAGAGGGUGAUCGGCCACACUGGAACUGAGACACGGUCCAGACUCCUACGGGAGGCAGCAGUAGGGAAUCUUCCGCAAUGGGCGAAAGCCUGACGGAGCCAUGCCGCGUGAAUGAUGAAGGUCUUAGGAUUGUAAAAUUCUUUCACCGGGGACGAUAAUGACGGUACCCGGAGAAGAAGCCCCGGCUAACUUCGUG